GAGUGUAUAGCUCAGUGGUAGAGCACAUGCUAGCAUGCACAAAGCCCUGGGUUCAAUCCCCAGUAUCUCCA
Molecule: transfer RNA, 71 nt
Filed under: Camelus bactrianus (Bactrian camel)
Lineage: Eukaryota; Metazoa; Chordata; Mammalia; Artiodactyla; Camelidae
Also listed under: 2 other names
Rfam family: tRNA
About the family: Transfer RNA (tRNA) molecules are approximately 80 nucleotides in length. Their secondary structure includes four short double-helical elements and three loops (D, anti-codon, and T loops).
Source: Rfam by way of RNAcentral